This 36-nucleotide small RNA is filed under the name Arabidopsis thaliana (thale cress). RNAcentral describes it as "ATSL232290". Lineage: Eukaryota; Viridiplantae; Streptophyta; Magnoliopsida; Brassicales; Brassicaceae. The record is from RNAcentral.
GUCAAAAUGAAAAAAGGCAAAAAAACAAAACAAAAA